RNAcentral lists this long non-coding RNA (238 nucleotides) under Trifolium pratense (red clover). RNAcentral's name for it is "long non-coding RNA (TPRA_LNC010633)". The record is from RNAcentral. Lineage: Eukaryota; Viridiplantae; Streptophyta; Magnoliopsida; Fabales; Fabaceae.
UUGUUUUACGGCCCGUUUUACUUGAUGUAUAAAAACUGAAAAAUCAGCCUAGGGCUGAUCAUUCUGAAGAUUCACGAAAUAAACAAACCCUAGCAGCCAGCCUCUUUGAAUGGAGAACUAAGAACUAUAGAUCAAUCCGUUGGUUAAGACACUUUGGUUCAUUAUCUUGAGGUUUGAAUUCUAAUGCAAUUUCAAUUCAUGUUUCUAUUUCUUUCUCUGUAAAUUUCGCUGCCUUUCU